AUGAGGACGCUGUGUUGGAACUGCCGCGAGAUUGGCGACCCCGCGACAGUCAGAGAGCUCCGCGAUUUAGUGGAGGCAUGUGCGCCGAUGGUGCUUUGCAUUGUGGAGACACAGAUUGCGAAGUAUAGGGUGGAAGGUUUGGCAGGUAGCUUAGGUUUCUCGGGUCGUUUUGGAGUAGAUAGUGCAGGAAGGAGUGGUGGUUUGUGCUUGUUUUGGAAGACUAAUGUUGAUUUGGAAAUAAAAACUUUUUCUCAAUAUCAUAUUGACUCGGUUGUGAAGGAACCGGGCAAAAACCCGUGGCACUUGUCUUGUUUUUAUGGAGCAGCUAACAGGAGCCUGAGGUUCAGGACAUGGGACACGAUGAAGUUCUUACGGGGCGAAAGUACACUGUCGUGGCUUUGCAUUGGUGAUUUUAUUGAGAUAUUGCGGCCCGAGGAGCAAAUGGGUCCAAACGAGAGAGAUAGUGCACAGAUCGAAGGCUUCAGAGAAGCAGUAGAUGUAUGUGAGCUGGCUGAUCUAGGGUACAAAGGCCCGGACUGGACUUUCGAGAAGAGAGUCGCUGGUGGAGAGUUUUGCAGGGUUCGGCUUGACUGA
This 594-nucleotide ribosomal RNA is filed under the name Triticum aestivum (bread wheat). RNAcentral's name for it is "partial small subunit ribosomal RNA". The record is from RNAcentral. Lineage: Eukaryota; Viridiplantae; Streptophyta; Magnoliopsida; Poales; Poaceae.